RNAcentral lists this non-coding RNA (329 nucleotides) under Pan troglodytes (chimpanzee). RNAcentral also lists the same sequence under 1 other name. Lineage: Eukaryota; Metazoa; Chordata; Mammalia; Primates; Hominidae. The record is from RNAcentral.
UAUUGAGCAAGUAUCUGUAAGCCAUUUGCAACCACUGAUGGGAGGAACAGAGAGCAGCAUUUCAGAACCAGGUUCUCCUUCGAGGAACAGAGAAAAUGAAACCAGCAGACAGAAUUUGUCAGAAUGUAAGGUAUGGAGAAACCCUCUAAAUCUUUUCAGAGGAGCAGAAUAUAGGAGCUGUGCCACUGCAUAUGUUCUACUGGCUGAGGAAGAAGCAACAACUAUUGUAGAUGCUGAAAGGUUAUUUAAACAGGCACUCAAGGCAGGAGAAACAAUUUAUAGGCAGUCACAGCAGUGCCAGCACCAAAGUCCUCAGCAUGAAGCUCAAC